UUAAAGACUGUGAUUAGGAGAAGUACUUAUUUGGAUACUUUAAGAGAGUGGCUGGUUGGUGAAAAGUCAUAGAGAAGAUUAAGGAAAAUCACCUAGGAGUUUGAUGCUGAAAGGUUUAAAAUUACUGAUUAAGUUUUUCACGUUAUCCUGCGUUAAGGGAUAGAGUAUGUUUGUACUCGAAUCGAAAGGUUUUUCAUAUUUAUUUAUGGGGAACUUCUAACCUUAGGUGGUAUAGCGAAUACUCUUCGUCCUAUUG
Molecule: non-coding RNA, 256 nt
Filed under: Clostridium sp.
Lineage: Bacteria; Bacillati; Bacillota; Clostridia; Eubacteriales; Clostridiaceae
Description: T-box sequence
Rfam family: T-box leader
About the family: Uncharged tRNA acts as the effector for transcription antitermination of genes in the T-box leader family.
Source: RNAcentral